GAUGAACGCUGGCGGCGUGCCUAAUACAUGCAAGUCGAGCGAACAGACGAGGAGCUUGCUCCUCUGACGUUAGCGGCGGACGGGUGAGUAACACGUGGAUAACCUACCUAUAAGACUGGGAUAACUUCGGGAAACCGGAGCUAAUACCGGAUAAUAUAUUGAACCGCAUGGUUCAAUAGUGAAAGACGGUUUUGCUGUCACUUAUAGAUGGAUCCGCGCCGCAUUAGCUAGUUGGUAAGGUAACGGCUUACCAAGGCAACGAUGCGUAGCCGACCUGAGAGGGUGAUCGGCCACACUGGAACUGAGACACGGUCCAGACUCCUACGGGAGGCAGCAGUAGGGAAUCUUCCGCAAUGGGCGAAAGCUUGACGGAGCAACGCCGCGUGAGUGAUGAAGGUCUUCGGAUCGUAAAACUCUGUUAUUAGGGAAGAACAAAUGUGUAACUAACUAUGCACGUCUUGACGGUACCUAAUCAGAAAGCCACGGCUAACUACGUG
This 497-nucleotide ribosomal RNA is filed under the name uncultured bacterium. Its description in RNAcentral is "partial 16S ribosomal RNA". It matches the Rfam family "Bacterial small subunit ribosomal RNA", at positions 28 to 507 of the family's 1533-position model. The record is from RNAcentral.